Molecule: long non-coding RNA, 968 nt
Organism: Triticum dicoccoides
Lineage: Eukaryota; Viridiplantae; Streptophyta; Magnoliopsida; Poales; Poaceae
Exons: 2
Source: RefSeq, a predicted model, not a curated record
UCCUCCCAAGCCACCUACCGCUGCCACGUAACAAACCAAAGCGUGCCGCCGCUUCACAGGCAGCACGCUGCUGCCCAGGCGCCCGGGCGGGUGCCGCACGGUCUAGCGGCCACCGACCCUUCCCGGCGCCAAAACCGGCCGCCACGGGGCCCAUGCGCCGCCACCAACCCUUUGCCCCCAUGGAUCCACCCGUCACCAGCCACCCCCGCCGCCCCAACAACCUUCUCCAUCCUCCGUCGCGCCACCGUGGAGAAUGGUUCUCGGGUCAGAUCCCCGUCCAACCCCAUGGCCGACGGCCUCCUGCGAGCUCGGCCACAUCGACCGCCGCCCGUACGUUGCCUCCUUCUCCGUAUGUCACAAGCACACGUGUACACCUCCCCCUCUGCUUUCUCUCUCUCCAUUGGAUUUGGGCGGCCCCGCCUCCCCCACCUCAGGCGCACUGAAUCGAGGAUCUACGGCGAGGUCGCCGUGGCUCCCAGGCACAACGACGUCGAGCAGGAGGAUCAGUUUCAGCUCCGGUUCGCCGCGGGUCGGGGCCCCUCCUCCACGUCCUCUCCUCUCCUCUCGAUGGUUACCAGAAGACUAUGAAGCAGCAACGGCAGUGGGGAGGUGGUCUCCUCCAUGGCAAAUCCACCCUCAAAUGGUGGCGACGGCGACCGAUGGAAGAGCAGUAGCGGGUGUGCUGUCCACUUAUUUUAUUUGCAUUUUUUUCUUCAGAUUUUGGCUAUGUGCAGUCCAGUUUUUUCAGAGUUUUCGGAUUUUGCGAGCCGUGUCAGAGUUGAUAAAACUUGCGUGCAACCCUCCACGACCAAAAAUGUAGUUCGUUGUGCGUGAGUGCAGUGCGGUGUCCACGGCAUUGCGGUAACCCGAGCCCUUCUCCAGCGUCCCAGCCCCCACGGCGCACGAGAAGUGCACUAGCAGUUCACCUGAUUGUAUUUUUAAGUGGGGCAAAUUAUCUUUUUUUAGCA